RNAcentral lists this ribosomal RNA (110 nucleotides) under Nannospalax galili (Upper Galilee mountains blind mole rat). The record is from RNAcentral. Lineage: Eukaryota; Metazoa; Chordata; Mammalia; Rodentia; Spalacidae.
GUCCAAGGCCAUACCACGCUGAAUGCAUUCAGUCUCUCCUGAUCUUGGAACCUAAGCAGGGUCAGUGUCUGCUUAGUAUUUGGAUGGGAGACUGUGGUACUUUGUGGUCU